ACAAACUUGGUCAUUUAGAGGAAGUAAAAGUCGUAACAAGGUCUCCGUUGGUGAACCAGCGGAGGGAUCAUUACCGAGUUUACAACUCCCAAACCCUAUGUGAACCUCUACCUUUACUGUUGCUUCGGCGGGCUUUAGCCCCGGGAGCCGGCUCGAUAGGGCCUGCCCGGAAACAGGCGCCCGCCGGGGGACCAACCUAUAAACUCUUGUAUCUCUAUGCUAUACGUAUGUCUGAGUGGUAUAAAAAAAUCAGUUAAAACUUUCAACAACGGAUCUCUUGGCUCUGGCAUCGAUGAAGAACGCAGC
This 306-nucleotide unclassified non-coding RNA is filed under the name uncultured fungus. RNAcentral's name for it is "partial contains small subunit ribosomal RNA, internal transcribed spacer 1, and 5.8S ribosomal RNA". The stretch from base 1 to 73 matches the Rfam family "Eukaryotic small subunit ribosomal RNA", at positions 1759 to 1831 of the family's 1831-position model. Lineage: Eukaryota; Fungi. The record is from RNAcentral.